CCAGUCAAUUCUUCCUGCAAUUAGUAUUCAUGGUCAGCUGAGCAGAACUAAUGCAACAAACCGUUUUUACUUUGAAGGUCAUAUUACAGGCUUCCGAGCUCCUGCGGAAAAGGCUCUUUAUGAUUUUCCUAUGGAGGGUGUUCCUCAUCAGGACCCCCAGAGACCACAGCUGCCUUGAGAGAAUAUUAUGUCUACCCUUCCCCAUCCUCGCAAUAGGGAGAACAGGAGGUCUCCUUUGAAAAUACCUCUUCGCCUGUAUAAAACUGUAUAAAGCUGCAGCUGCCUCUGGAAGAAAAAGUAAAGGAGCAUAGAGAUGAAGAGCUGUGAAGUCAAGAGCCUUUGCUUUGAUUACGAGCUCCAGGAGGUGAAAGCCAAUCUGUAUUUCACACAUAGAUUGAAUUUCUGGAAGCAGGCCCGGCAAACACUUCCAUGCAGUGGACUCCCUGAUUUAAGCAGGUGGCCCUGACCUUAGUCUGUUCACCCAGAGUCUCCAAAACCAGACAGUUCAGACCAUUCUUCUUUUGUACCCUAAGACACACAGGAGAAGUGAGAACAAGAGCCACAAGCCAGGCAAGCCAUUUCCAUUCUUUGGAUCUGAUUCCUCAGCUGUAAGAUGGGCGCAUUGGACCAAAUGGCCGCCAAGCUUCCUUCCAGCUUGAGCAUCCAAUGAGGGUUGAGCGCAGCUUCAGAGAUACGAAAGAGCGAACAGUGUUUUAAGGCCACAGUACAAUGUGACAACAGUGAUAGAUAUGCUAAUUUCUUCAUUCACUCCACUUCACUUCUUUUAUUCUUUCCAAUUAAGGCAAAUGCUACUGAAACUGUAAUUAAGCCAGGGCCGCCCCGAUUGCCUGCUGUUUUAAUGAAACCCUAUUGAUUCUUCUUUUCUUUCUAAUGGCCACACAUGGUGCUCAGUGGUCAAACACAUGCCUUGCUACAGUGUCCCCAGCAGAACUUAAUUUUGGCCCGGGAGAAUGGAAGGCCAGUGGAGAAGCUCCCAGAAGUGGCGUGGGUGGCGUGGUGAGGCUCUCAGGUCACGAGGCCACGGUGUGAGCGCAACCCCCACCCCAAUUCUGUGACCAUCCAGAAGAAACGAAAUGCCUUUGGGAUGAAUCCAGGCGUCCUUUUUAUUCUAGUGCUGGUUCCAUAAGGAGCAGUGUGGUCGUUAAACUCUAGCGGCUUACCUAAGCUGGAUGUUAAAAUCUGGGCAAUUUGGAGCUCUGCAAAUAUGCGCUCUUGACAGAUGUUCACAAACCAGAGAGCCGCUUUGGAGACGAAGUAUCGGAAGAACAUUUUACUUCUCUUUGGCAUAAAUUUGAGAAUAAAGUUUUUUUUGUUUGUUUUUUAA
Molecule: long non-coding RNA, 1345 nt
Organism: Canis lupus familiaris (dog)
Lineage: Eukaryota; Metazoa; Chordata; Mammalia; Carnivora; Canidae
Exons: 6
Source: RefSeq, a predicted model, not a curated record